This 468-nucleotide ribosomal RNA is filed under the name uncultured bacterium. RNAcentral describes it as "partial 16S ribosomal RNA". It matches the Rfam family "Bacterial small subunit ribosomal RNA", at positions 28 to 507 of the family's 1533-position model. The record is from RNAcentral.
GACGAACGCUGGCGGCGUGCUUAACACAUGCAAGUCGAACGGAAAGGCCCUGCUUUUGUGGGGUGCUCGAGUGGCGAACGGGUGAGUAACACGUGAGUAACCUGCCCUUGACUUUGGGAUAACUUCAGGAAACUGGGGCUAAUACCGGAUAGGAGCUCCUGCUGCAUGGUGGGGGUUGGAUAGUUUCGGCGGUUGGGGAUGGACUCGCGGCUUAUCAGCUUGUUUGUGGGGUAGUGGCUUACCAAGGCUUUGACGGGUAGCCGGCCUGAGAGGGUGACCGGCCAAAUUGGGACUGAGAUACGGCCCAGAAGGAAACGGGAGGAAGCAGUGGGGAAUAUUGCAAAAUGGGCGGAAGCCUGAUGCAGCAACGCCGCGUGCGGGAUGACGGCCUUCGGGUUGUAAACCGCUUUCGCAUGUGACGAAGCGUGAGUGACGGUAAUGGGUAAAGAAGCACCGGCUAACUACGUG